GUAUAAACGAUAUCGAAAAUUAUGAUAUUGAUAAUCGAGCUUUUAAAAAUCAGGUUAAUUGAAAACUUUUCGUCAAUCACAUAGCCACAACAAUGAUCUCCAAGGAAUGUUAUUUAACGAAACUUCUCAUUACCGAGAAUCUUAAUACGUUCCUUCUAACUGGAGGAACCGUCUCAACUUAUUGGCAGAAGAGCAAGCGCAAUAAUUCGAAACGGCUCGAUCUUCUUCAAAAGCGGAACUUCGACGAUCCACCGAACUACGGUGGAACUUUUCUAGGUCAAACCCCUUCGCGUUCACAUAACCUACUUCCGUCCAGAGGUUUUCCAACCACUUAUCCGCCCUAACACGACGGUUCUUUCAACACAGAGAGGAGCGGAUAGACGGAACGAAACGAAGGAGACUGAAAAGCUGAAACGGGCAAAGUGUGUCCGUGAGAUUCAGAGAAACGCGAGUUCGCUUCGCAACUGUGGAGUUUGCAUUCUGGCACGUAUAGCAGUUUUCAAGAUGGGUAUUUGAUAGGAUGUGGACACGUAGGCUAUGUAUACGCGGCGACUCGGUAGAUUAGGAUGAUAUAAUUACAACAUUAACAUAAGUCACCGGACAGGCACGGCCGCGGAAUAGUAAUCGUGUCGAACACGUGUGCGCGUCAUCGCUGUUUCGUUUUACUGCACUUCGUUUCUAGGGACAGUGCCGCCUCGACGGGUUCACGUGCGUUUUCGUCAGUUGGAUAUCCUUCUCUUAAAUACCGAGAUAUUUAUCGCGACGAUUCGCGCAGUCGGCCACGGUCAACUUGUUUCCCGAAUUUAAUCGUUCGACCAUAAUCACCUACUAUGCAUAAUUAUUAAUCAAUUGAGCUUAACUACUUAACUUGAUAUCAAAAUUAUUGAGAACCUUUGACAACGAUUACUCGGAGUAAUUUCAGCAAAUGGAAGCAAAGAUUGAUCGGUCUUUUUCAAGUUAAUCGAAAUACUGCUAUAAAAUUUGGAAGAUAUAUCAGGGAGGUUUUGAUUAUUAUUUUUGUAUUGUUUAGUUACUCCAAAUAUACUUGUGUACACAUUACAUUUGGAUCUCGUACAUAAAAAAUUGUAAUAGUUUGGUUUCGUUUAGCAUAUUGGGAGAUCCAAUCGGUGUACAAAGAAACUUUGUCAUUUUACGAGAAGCGCAGUCGUCUUCUUUUUAUUCUCUUUCUUGUGAUCCAUAUCUUUGUUAUAUAACGUUUCUUCAGACCCUUCGGAAGGAUAUUUGUGAGCGUGAAAAUAGCGAUGCAGGUGAUCGAAUGGCAUAAUUCUAUUAACACAACAAACAUUUCAAACAAGUUCUAAAGGGAAUGGGCAUGAUAUUUCGGCCUUAAACUUGAUCCGUAAACGCGAUACGUAGCUCGAGCAGCAAAGUUGAUACAAAUUCUUUCAUUCGAUGAACGUGGAACGAAAAAUUUCCGCGAUUCACCGGCUCGUGGCCCGUUGCAAGGGCGGUCGAGCUUGUCGCGUAACAAUUUCCAAAUUGCCGUGAAAUCCGCGAUCCAAACGUUCCAGUGGAGCACAAAGAAAAAUCCGUUCCGCGGCAACAAGCAAUGAACCAGAGAAAACAGAGACGAAAGAAAAAGGUGGAAGCGAGGAAGAUAGAACGGUUGGGAAAAAAAGAGCGAGAGGGAGAGAGGAAGGAACACCAUGAAAUCAGGAACCUGACUGGGCAUACAGCGUUCGGAAAGUUGGUGAACUGAUGAAGCAGUCAGACGAUCAUAAAAGCACCUUUGAUGAACACCUGGAUUCUGACCAGUGAAUGCGCAGUACGAAUUUAGGAGACUAAAUCCAGAAGAUGGCAAGAAAAGAGAAAAAUCAGGUCCAAAAGUCAGAAUAACUGUUCAAGAAACGUGAUUCUGCUUCAAAACAAGAGCUUCGUUUCGACAAAAAGAUACGCUGCAACGACAGCGACUACGCUUGAAAACAAGAGUUUCCUUCAAGCAAAGAAUACAGAACCUUAUUAGGAAAUGGACCAAAUGCGCUUCGGAACUUCAGGGAGAUUAUGCAAGAAACUGACCCACAUUUCAAUCGCGAAAUUAACAAAUGCAAAGAUACAUAGAAUAUGUUAAAAUAUGAAAAAUAUACAAAGCAGCAAUAUGAAUCUUUGUUUAGGUGCCAUUUCUUUGAAAUUGUGUUUGUAUCUAUAAAGAUACGAUCUUUGAUACUCAUUCCAUCUUACGAUACUUUCUGUGAAGCAAGGAAGAGAAGAUCGAAAUUCGAAUGACAGCCUGAGUUUCCGAGGAAGUACAUUCGAUUAACCGCAAAAAUCACGACUAAUGAUGGCGAGUGUCAACGUAAGGGAGAUAAUGCCCAGAUACGUAUCGAGCAAGCGCUGCACGUAAUGACGAGCACGAAUGCACGUAACAUGGAUGCGCGCGAUACAACUCGGCCCGGAUAUCGUAGUGGGCGCACAUGUGCAUCGGUGAUGUUUCGAGCUAGAACGAUUUCGGAGCGUCGAAUUACGCGGCACCGGGUGCACGUGCAGUAGGCGCCUAUUGCACAAAUCACACGCAUUAUUGACUACCUUUGUAUUUCUCCGGCCGACGCGCCAUUGUCCGUGUCACGUGCGUUUCCUUCUCUAAGUACCUACCAGCACAAAUAAACCGAGAAAAUUUGCUUUUUGUACUUAAAAUCAUCUGCAAUUUCAAUUAACGUUUUAGACAGUUCUCUUCGAUGGAAUAUAAAUCCACUUACAUAUUGGACCAUCUAAACGGAAAUUAGUAUAAUGAUAGUAACAAAAAUCUCACAAAAGUAUUUGAGAUCUGUGUGUAAAAUUAAUGAACAUAGACUAUUGAAAUUAUUUCAGAAUACAAUUAAAGUACACAGCAGAGAUGUUGCAAGUUUCAAAGAAUUGGCGACCUUGUAAAGUGACUCUCAAUGGAAAUGAACAUAUAUAGCGGAAGAUUCAGGGUGGUCAGUGAAAGUGGUCCAUGUCCCCAGUGGCCUCGAAAUCUCAACUAGAAACCUCGGUACCCAAGACUGGCGCCAGACUUGUCUGCAUCUGUUUGGAAGAUGAAGUAUCUGGCUGGCUUUUCCUGCCUCCAAAUCCGUUGAGAAGUGUUCGACCUGCAAACCGGCUUCCGUUCGACCCUCCAAAGACGAACACUCGAAGGGUACUCGAUCCAUCGACAAACCUAUCGUCCGACUUGCAAGUCACACAGAGAGACAGACAGCCGGUCGUGUUUUCUUUCGAACGAGAUCCUCGGGAGAGGGAAGUUUAUUUACGCGUAUCAAGCCUCCUGCCGUCUUUACGAUCGUCCACGAUAUGCUUCGUGUUAACCGGAUCUCUGUUAAUGGUUCAACGUGUUUUCACAGAGCAAACGGAAGCCUGCUGCCGCUCUUUACCAUUUGACAUUUAGAAACUGGGAAUUAUUAGCGAUGUGCUAUCAUUGCAAACGAUCGACUGUGAAUAAAGUUGUAUCUUGAAGUCGUCUUAGGCUGAAACUUUAAGUAUUUCAUUUCAUUUUUAGUUUAUUUGAUUAUCAAUGUGCGCUGGGAAAAUAUACGGACAAUACUAAAAUUUUAAAAAAUCAUUGAUCAAAUUGAAAUUAUUUCUUUGAAGUAAUUUUGGUGAUUAUUUUCAUUCAUCUAAGCUUCUAUGUAUAUAUAACUAAUACGCGUGAAUUCAAUUCCAUUGAUCGAAAUAUGAAGGAAAAAUAAAAUUACAAUUUGGAUGUUGAAGCCACUACUUAAUUGCUAAUUAAUUACGAAUUAAAUAUUUAUUUUAAUGGUUUAAUGGAUAUUUAAUACCUUGGUAUGUAGGUAUAACUCCACCUGCCACACAGGACUUUAUCAAAGAAAUAUGUAUGUAUAUAGAAAUUACAAGCUUGUAUAAAUCGAAGUUAAGAGCUGCCCUAACCUGUCUCAAACGAGACAGGGGCUUCCACGUCGACUUAAGAAAACUACCAGCCCUUCAUGGAUGUUUCGAGUGGCUCGACUCGAUCUGUCAUGUUUACACGAGAUCGUGUAUACCCGAUACAACCCCUCACUAAACUAGAUGAUGUUUGUUUAAAGUCCCCCAGCUCUUCUGCUAGAAUAGACGUCGAUUCAUCGCAUCUAAAGGUCCUCGUAAGCCUAAGUAAAUGAAAUUACUAGUUUGGAAGUACUAGCCAUUCCAGGUUUUCGACGAUGUCAGAUAUCUUAAUUUCUCAUUUGCAUCUUUUGAUUUCACUUUAUUAGAUUGCAAAAAGGUUCGUAGAUUAGCUUUGGAUCGAUAAAAGAAAAUAUAAACUUAAGAAAAUACACGUGAGUACUGAUCGUCACAUUUACAAACCACAGUACAAAACCUUCACUCAAAAUUAAAUAUCUUGAAUUGAAAAGAAUGCUUUUUAUUCAGGAAGGAAUUACAAAUUUAAGAAAGAGACAAAAUCUCUGGUUAGGAUAUUUUACUAAAAAAAAAAAAAAGAAAUCAAAAUAGAAAUCAUCGUCGAAUAUUUCCAAAACAUCUUUCCUUUGGAGAAGCCAAAAAUCUUCGUAAUAAUUUUUUUACUACCUUAUACUUUUAUAAUUUUAAACACAUUGAAGAUGAUAUCUAAUAAUUACUAUGAAAAAUUUGAUGGUGCCUUAGUAAACUGAAUACAAUGCUGGAAAUGAUCACUGACACAUUAUAUAUAUAUAAAUUUCGAACAUUAAAACAAAGAUCGUAUACACUAUGUUAUGUUACGUAUAUAUUUUGUUAUGUUAGUGCAAUAAUAUUACUCAAGCAGUAGGAACUUGGUAUAAAUUUCAACAGCACGAUCGGUACUGAUUGCAUCCAUUCCUCUUUCCAUACGGAAUGCUAUUCAGACGACUUUCUGUAUUACUCUGGCUUCCUCGUGAAAACUUGUUAGACGUUGAUCGCCUAGCUCGUCAGAGGGUUAACCUUCUGCGAUCUAACUAUGCCUCCUAGGCGAUAGCGGUGUCAGAUAUUAUCAUUCAAAUGUAUCUUUCAGUUUCAGACUGGAUACUUGUGAAUCACUCUAUAUAAUCGAAAUACAGUGAGCUAUUAUGAGAAUGAACGAUAUUACAGUGAACUGUUUUUGUCGAUAAAAUCAGGAUCCUGAAGAAAAACAGUUUCUCCAACGAUAGCUAUCUAUUUCUUUUCAUGCAGGUUAUAUAUGUUUUUUUUACUAAAGAAGAUUUGUAAUAAAAGCUAAAUAAAUUGAUCCCAUAUUACUGUUA
RNA transcript from Bombus impatiens (common eastern bumble bee), 5180 nucleotides. RefSeq lists it as uncharacterized. The transcript is spliced from 5 exons. Lineage: Eukaryota; Metazoa; Arthropoda; Insecta; Hymenoptera; Apidae. The record is from RefSeq and is a predicted model, not a curated record.